UGUGAGGUAAUCGAUCGGUGAGA
Molecule: non-coding RNA, 23 nt
Filed under: Cricetulus griseus (Chinese hamster)
Lineage: Eukaryota; Metazoa; Chordata; Mammalia; Rodentia; Cricetidae
Source: RNAcentral